UGGGUCGUGGUGAAGUGCUACUGUUUUUGGGCAACCAUGUGCUCUUUACUUGAAUGAGAGCACAAACAAGCAUGGUUUUGUGAAAUUUGGCCAUUCAGUUCAGUUUAGGUUCUAGUUGAUCAAUCAGUUUUUUCAUGCAUUUCAGAGAUAUACUCCCUGGGUUGGCAUUUAUUUUGUUCAAUGCACCUGCAAUUUCUGUAUGCAUGCUCAUUUACAUUCAGCAGCCAAAGCAGGCAUUAUGACUUGCAAAUCAUUUUAUUCUUGGAAGGACAUGCUCACAAAUUGUCAAUAGCAGGUGCUAUCCUCUUUAAUUAACAACACCUGUUAUAUGCUUUCAAAUUGACAACCUUAUAUCACAACAGUUCAAUUCAGUGCAUUUCUAUCAGUUCUGUCCGAUUUUGCACACACACUCUGUUUACUGGAACAAUUCUUCAGCCAAAACAAACAUUCAAGAAAGCAGGAACAUUUUCCAUACAAAUCUGUUCAACUCUGCACAUGUACAAGUACCACUCAAGUCGGACCAAUUCUGCAAAUGUAGAAGUACAAACUAGAACAGUAAUUCAAUCAUAACAUUCAUUCAAAAUGCUGCUGUAGCUUCUCUCUUUUUACUCUGAAAACAUUCGUACAUCAAGACACAAUACAAGCAGCAGAGCAGAUGGCCCGCAGAAGCCUUGACGAGGCUGGCUUCGUGGCCUCGGCAGCUCGGCGGCGUCUACGGCGCCGGCUCAGCAGCUCCACGGCCUCGACGGCGCCGGCUCCGCAGCUCCACGGCCUCGAUAACUCCGACGCAUCGCGCCCUGGACGAGGCAGCUGCUGGCUCCGCUGCCUCCACUGCUAGGCGCCCUGACACCUGGACGAAGCGGGGUUUGUCUGCCGCCUCCACGGCUAGGCGGCGUCCCGUCCUCCCGGAGCUGCUCCUCCCCGCCGGCGAACCCUAAGGCGAGGCGAGAGUUCCUUUUUUUUAACGAGACGAGAGCUCAGGCGACGAAUCGAUGGGUGUCGUCCUGUUGGGCCGGAUGGGCUGCUUGUGUUCGUGUGGACACGAACGAAAGAGAAGGAAAGAGCGCACCUCACACGAGUCGUCAGAUCGCCAACGGACGGCGCAACGCGUACUACUUCCCUCGGCAGUAGAUCGAUCUAAGUCAGAGGAUCUCGUUCCCUUCGCAGGCCGCCGCAACCAACAGCGGAAGGCAUUCUUCCACUCUCCCCUGAAUCAUCAAAAAGAAAAGAAACGAGACCUUCCUCUCGAGACGAACCCUAGAUCCGAACUGACCUUCCGUCAGCUUCCUGUUCCGUGCGACAUGGAAGCUCGUCGGCGUCUUCAUCCGCCACCCGGUGCGGAGCUCUCCCGCCCUCACCCUCGCUGGGUGAUGCUAGAUCGCUUCGUCCACUACAAGGCGUACGCUGGUGAGGCUGUUGCGGAGGAGGUAAUGGACGGCACGCAAUCGGCGAUCUCCUCCACCUGCACCAACAUAAGCAUCGCCGUCUCUCUCAGGGUUGCUGAACCGCCCGCUGUGUCCCGUCUCUACCUCCACUGGCCCGAGUGAUUCAUGACGGCGUCGUUGAGCCAGGUGCUUUUGAUGGUCUUUUCUCAGUUGAGAUUCACCACAAAGGCUUAUUUUGUGGAACUGAAAGCAAUAGCACAUACAUGGAUUAUGAAGUUGCUUGGUUUGACAAUUGUGAUAGUGAUACUUUGUCCAUUUUAUGGAUCAAUGAUUUUCUGCAGUAGCUCGGGUACGACAGAGUGAGUGUGAAGCUUGAUGUGUUUUGGUGUCAGACGGGAAAGACAUUGGGUGAUGGAUUGAGAGAGAUAAAGUGUGAUGCAGACAUCCUUGCAAUGAUAGCAACAACUACAGAGCACAAGAAUUUGUUGCUGAUUGUAGACCAUGGAGGGACACCUGAACCGCCAAAGGUCAUUACUCCAGGAAAUGAAAGCAAGGGCAAAGAGAAAACUAUCCAGGAUGAGGAAAGAAGUGUGCCAAAGAAUAGGAGGGGAAGGAUCACCCUCAGGUUGUGGUGAUGAAGAAAUGGAGGAAGAAGGUGGAGUAGAUGCAGAAGCAGCAGAUUCAGAGACUGAUGAGGAUUUCUAUGAUAGUGACUGUGAUGUGGAGGAUGGGGACGAUGAUUUAUUUGAGACAAAUAUAGAUAAAGAAGUGGAUGAUCACAGAGAGAAGGAUACACCAUGUGACUAUGAAGCAGAGCUAGCAGAGGAUGCUCUAGACGAUUCCCACCUUGAAUUGUCCAAAGAAGAGAGGGACAAGUUGAAGUACCAUUUCAAGGCAUUUAAUGCAGAAAUAGAUUUAAAUGCCCCCUGUUUUUAGACUUGGCAUGGUGUUUGGUAAUGUGCAGGAGCUAAGACAUGCUAUAACAUCAUAUAGCAUCAGGAACAGGGUUCAAGUGAAGAAGACAAGGAAUACUUCUACUAGAGUUGUAGCUCAAUGCUCUGGUGAUUGCCCAUGGUAUCUUCAGGCAAGCAAGGACAACAGAACUUCUAGUUUUGUCAUAAAGAAGUUCUUUGAUGAGCA
Non-coding RNA from Aegilops tauschii subsp. strangulata, 2525 nucleotides. NCBI's taxonomy places the organism in Eukaryota, Viridiplantae, Streptophyta, Magnoliopsida, Poales, Poaceae. The record is from RefSeq and is a predicted model, not a curated record.